AGGUUUGAUCCUGGCUCAGAUUGAACGCUGGCGGUAGGCUUAACACAUGCAAGUCGUGCGAGAAAGUACCUUCGGGUGCGAGUAGAGCGGCGGACGGGUGAGUAACGCGUAGGAAUCUACCUAGUAGAAGGGGAUAGCCCGGGGAAACUCGGAUUAAUACCGUAUACCUCCUUAGGGAGAAAGAGGGCUUAGCUUUGAUGCUCUCGCUAUUAGAUGAGCCUGCGUAAGAUUAGCUUGUUGGUGAGGUAAUGGCUCACCAAGGCGACGAUCUUUAGCUGGUCUGAGAGGACGAUCAGCCACAUUGGGACUGAGACACGGCCCAGACUCCUACGGGAGGCAGCAGUGGGGAAUAUUGGACAAUGGGCGCAAGCCUGAUCCAGCCAUACCGCGUGUGUGAAGAAGGCUUUCGGGUUGUAAAGCACUUUAAGUAAGGAGAAAAAGAUUGUAGUUAAUACCUGCAAUCCGUGAUGUUACUUACAGAAUAAGGACCGGCUAAUUCCGUGCCAGCAGCCGCGGUAAUACGGAAGGUCCAAGCGUUAAUCGGAAUUACUGGGCGUAAAGCGCGCGUAGGUGGUUUUUUAAGUUGGAUGUGAAAGCCCUGGGCUCAACCUAGGAACUGCAUCCAAAACUAGAUGACUAGAGUACGAAAGAGGGAAGUAGAAUUCACAGUGUAGCGGUGGAAUGCGUAGAUAUUGUGAAGAAUACCAAUGGCGAAGGCAGCUU
RNAcentral lists this ribosomal RNA (723 nucleotides) under uncultured bacterium. RNAcentral's name for it is "bacterial SSU rRNA". It matches the Rfam family "Bacterial small subunit ribosomal RNA", at positions 9 to 727 of the family's 1533-position model. The record is from RNAcentral.